This 2923-nucleotide ribosomal RNA is filed under the name Klebsiella pneumoniae subsp. pneumoniae. Its description in RNAcentral is "bacterial LSU rRNA". It matches the Rfam family "Bacterial large subunit ribosomal RNA". The record is from RNAcentral. Lineage: Bacteria; Pseudomonadati; Pseudomonadota; Gammaproteobacteria; Enterobacterales; Enterobacteriaceae.
GGGUUGUGAGGUUAAGCGACUAAGCGUACACGGUGGAUGCCCUGGCAGUCAGAGGCGAUGAAGGACGUGCUAAUCUGCGAAAAGCGUCGGUAAGGUGAUAUGAACCGUUAUAACCGGCGAUGUCCGAAUGGGGAAACCCAGUGCAAUUCGUUGCACUAUCGUUAACUGAAUACAUAGGUUAACGAGGCGAACCGGGGGAACUGAAACAUCUAAGUACCCCGAGGAAAAGAAAUCAACCGAGAUUCCCCCAGUAGCGGCGAGCGAACGGGGAGCAGCCCAGAGUCUGAAUCAGCUUGUGUGUUAGUGGAACGGUCUGGAAAGUCCGACGGUACAGGGUGAUAGUCCCGUACACCAAAAUGCACAGGCUGUGAACUCGAAGAGUAGGGCGGGACACGUGGUAUCCUGUCUGAAUAUGGGGGGACCAUCCUCCAAGGCUAAAUACUCCUGACUGACCGAUAGUGAACCAGUACCGUGAGGGAAAGGCGAAAAGAACCCCGGCGAGGGGAGUGAAAAAGAACCUGAAACCGUGUACGUACAAGCAGUGGGAGCACCUUCGGGUGUGACUGCGUACCUUUUGUAUAAUGGGUCAGCGACUUAUAUUCUGUAGCAAGGUUAACCGUAUAGGGGAGCCGCAGGGAAACCGAGUCUUAACUGGGCGUUAAGUUGCAGGGUAUAGACCCGAAACCCGGUGAUCUAGCCAUGGGCAGGUUGAAGGUUGGGUAACACUAACUGGAGGACCGAACCGACUAAUGUUGAAAAAUUAGCGGAUGACUUGUGGCUGGGGGUGAAAGGCCAAUCAAACCGGGAGAUAGCUGGUUCUCCCCGAAAGCUAUUUAGGUAGCGCCUCGUGAACUCAUCUUCGGGGGUAGAGCACUGUUUCGGCUAGGGGGUCAUCCCGACUUACCAACCCGAUGCAAACUACGAAUACCGAAGAAUGUUAUCACGGGAGACACACGGCGGGUGCUAACGUCCGUCGUGAAGAGGGAAACAACCCAGACCGCCAGCUAAGGUCCCAAAGUCAUGGUUAAGUGGGAAACGAUGUGGGAAGGCACAGACAGCCAGGAUGUUGGCUUAGAAGCAGCCAUCAUUUAAAGAAAGCGUAAUAGCUCACUGGUCGAGUCGGCCUGCGCGGAAGAUGUAACGGGGCUAAACCAUGCACCGAAGCUGCGGCAGCGACACUAUGUGUUGUUGGGUAGGGGAGCGUUCUGUAAGCCUGCGAAGGUGUGCUGUGAGGCAUGCUGGAGGUAUCAGAAGUGCGAAUGCUGACAUAAGUAACGAUAAAGCGGGUGAAAAGCCCGCUCGCCGGAAGACCAAGGGUUCCUGUCCAACGUUAAUCGGGGCAGGGUGAGUCGACCCCUAAGGCGAGGCCGAAAGGCGUAGUCGAUGGGAAACAGGUUAAUAUUCCUGUACUUGGUGUUACUGCGAAGGGGGGACGGAGAAGGCUAUGUUAGCCGGGCGACGGUUGUCCCGGUUUAAGCAUGUAGGCUGGUUAUCCAGGCAAAUCCGGAUAAUCAAGGCUGAGGUGUGAUGACGAGGCACUACGGUGCUGAAGUAACAAAUGCCCUGCUUCCAGGAAAAGCCUCUAAGCAUCAGGUAACAUCAAAUCGUACCCCAAACCGACACAGGUGGUCAGGUAGAGAAUACCAAGGCGCUUGAGAGAACUCGGGUGAAGGAACUAGGCAAAAUGGUGCCGUAACUUCGGGAGAAGGCACGCUGGUGUGUAGGUGAAGCCCCUGCGGGUGGAGCUGAGACCAGUCGAAGAUACCAGCUGGCUGCAACUGUUUAUUAAAAACACAGCACUGUGCAAACACGAAAGUGGACGUAUACGGUGUGACGCCUGCCCGGUGCCGGAAGGUUAAUUGAUGGGGUUAUCCGUAAGGAGAAGCUCUUGAUCGAAGCCCCGGUAAACGGCGGCCGUAACUAUAACGGUCCUAAGGUAGCGAAAUUCCUUGUCGGGUAAGUUCCGACCUGCACGAAUGGCGUAAUGAUGGCCAGGCUGUCUCCACCCGAGACUCAGUGAAAUUGAACUCGCUGUGAAGAUGCAGUGUACCCGCGGCAAGACGGAAAGACCCCGUGAACCUUUACUAUAGCUUGACACUGAACAUUGAGCCUUGAUGUGUAGGAUAGGUGGGAGGCUUUGAAGCGUGGACGCCAGUCUGCGUGGAGCCAACCUUGAAAUACCACCCUUUAAUGUUUGAUGUUCUAACGUUGGCCCCUUAUCGGGGUUGCGGACAGUGUCUGGUGGGUAGUUUGACUGGGGCGGUCUCCUCCCAAAGCGUAACGGAGGAGCACGAAGGUUAGCUAAUCCUGGUCGGACAUCAGGAGGUUAGUGCAAUGGCAUAAGCUAGCUUGACUGCGAGCGUGACGGCGCGAGCAGGUGCGAAAGCAGGUCAUAGUGAUCCGGUGGUUCUGAAUGGAAGGGCCAUCGCUCAACGGAUAAAAGGUACUCCGGGGAUAACAGGCUGAUACCGCCCAAGAGUUCAUAUCGACGGCGGUGUUUGGCACCUCGAUGUCGGCUCAUCACAUCCUGGGGCUGAAGUAGGUCCCAAGGGUAUGGCUGUUCGCCAUUUAAAGUGGUACGCGAGCUGGGUUUAGAACGUCGUGAGACAGUUCGGUCCCUAUCUGCCGUGGGCGCUGGAGAAUCGAGGGGGGCUGCUCCUAGUACGAGAGGACCGGAGUGGACGCAUCACUGGUGUUCGGGUUGUCAUGCCAAUGGCACUGCCCGGUAGCUAAAUGCGGAAGAGAUAAGUGCUGAAAGCAUCUAAGCACGAAACUUGCCCCGAGAUGAGUUCUCCCUGAGACUNUAAGUCUCCUGAAGGAACGUUAAAGACGAUGACGUUGAUAGGCCGGGUGUGUAAGCGCAGCGAUGCGUUGAGCUAACCGGUACUAAUGAACCGUGAGGCUUAACCUUACAACGCCGAAG